Molecule: long non-coding RNA, 888 nt
Organism: Hevea brasiliensis (rubber tree)
Lineage: Eukaryota; Viridiplantae; Streptophyta; Magnoliopsida; Malpighiales; Euphorbiaceae
Exons: 3
Source: RefSeq, a predicted model, not a curated record
CUUCGUUUGGCAUCAGAACUGCACUCUCUUCAACGUCCAAUAUCAUUUUUACUCUCACACAUUGCACAAUCAAGUUUAUCAUUUUGCUUUAAAUCCCCAGUUUAGUGUUAGUUUAACUCGGCUACAAUAGAGUUGAUUAAUGAUUGGUUCCUUGAUUGUUUAAAUUACUUUUGUAGGUUGCAUGGUAGCGGGGAGUCAAUGGCUGUACUGCCUAUUGAAGGUGGUGGUGGUUCUAGAAGAAGAAACUCUAUUAUCUUGGCAUUUAAAGAUGCAAAGAUUUCAGUUCUGGAUUUUGAUGAUUCGGUACAUGGACUCCGCACUAGGUUCAAAAGCCAGUGAAUCAAGUUCUUGCAUCACUUGUCAAUCAAGAAGUUGGCCAUCAGAUUGAGAGUCAUAAUUUAAGUUAUGAUGAACAGCAUCGAACUUAUAAUGUAAAAGAAUUUGAGGUUCGGAUCUUGGAACCAGAGAGACCUGGUGGCCCUUGGCAAACUAAGGCUACAAUCCCAAUGCAAAGUUCUGAAAGUGCACUUGCUGUGCGAGUGGUUAAAUUGUUUAAUACAACCACAAAGGAGAAUGAAACACUUUUAGCUAUUGAGACUGCUUAUGUGCAAGGGGAGGAUGUUGCAGCAAGAGGGCGUGUGCUUCUGUUUUCUGUUGUGAAAAAUCCAGAUAAUUCCCAAGUUUUGGUACUUUUCGGAUUGUUCAGUCCUUUGCUCUCAAAAGUCAAAUCCUUUUCAUUUUUUCCUUAAACCCAACUACCCAAGCACUGUAAAAGUUUCAACAUUUCCUCAAAUAUUUCUUCUUUGUUCUUUCUAAUAGUUUUAUGUUUCAGUAUUAAUUCCGUCACUUUGAUUUACAGGCUUCAGAAGUCUAUUCUAAGGAAGUGAA